Molecule: long non-coding RNA, 970 nt
Organism: Hibiscus syriacus
Lineage: Eukaryota; Viridiplantae; Streptophyta; Magnoliopsida; Malvales; Malvaceae
Exons: 3
Source: RefSeq, a predicted model, not a curated record
UUUCAUUUCAUAAUUAAACCCUAAAAAUUAACUACAUCCCCUUUCAGCCGCAUCUCCAAAUCUCUCCACACUCUGUUUGCAAGCUCUGGUCGAAACCUUUGCCAAACCAUCGCCACCAUGCCUCCAUCUUUCCCCUGCUCCGGUAACCACAUCAGCGCCGGGACUCACGACCACUCUCUUAUCUUCUUCUUUGAUCGAAACCAAGAGUCACCAUCGCUUCAAAACCCAGCAAAACAAUGCCGACCAUACCUCCUUGGUGGUUGUUUUUCACUCUGAUCGUCAACUUCCUAAUGAAAAUCAAACCUACGCAAACAAAUUAGCUCUCCUUUCACUCGAUCACUGCCACAAAGACCACGGUUGAUGCCCCUAAAUGCCCUAUAUGGGCACGAUACACCUCCUUGACCACCACCGUGGUGGUUACUUGUGGUGAAGGACCCGAACCGAUGAGGUAAUCGCUUCACUUUUUUCUUUCCUUCGUUUUGUUUUCUUCGAUUUCUCUCUGGGUAUUCUCUCGUUUUUUUCUUGCCUAUCUCAACGCAUGGCAGUGCUCCUAAUCUCCCAAAGACAACGCUCGGCCACCGUUCACUGGUGACCCCUGCUCACCUACAUUCUAACACUCAGACCGGUUCUUAAAUCUAACAUGCAAAGGCUGAAACACCACACAAACCCCAACUCUCCGAUGACGAAACCGAAUCAAAAGGUAGCAGAAAACUCACAUGUUACCAUUUUUCUUCACCAAAUUCGUUUUUCUUUCUUUCCUUUUUUUCUUCAUUGCUUUAUUUGGUAAGAAUAGUGAAGAUUGGCUCCAACAAUGGUGAUAGCUUGAGAUGUUGCCGUGAUUGGCUGCCGCUCAUGCACAUGGAUGGGAACAUCUCCUGUGCUUAAUUGAUUUACUUGUAAUUAUUUUGGGCUGUUGGAUUUUUAUUGGGCCUGCAUUGGGCUCCGGGAUUGCUUUUGUUGUAGUGGGCUU